RNAcentral lists this ribosomal RNA (510 nucleotides) under uncultured Lachnospiraceae bacterium. Its description in RNAcentral is "bacterial SSU rRNA". It matches the Rfam family "Bacterial small subunit ribosomal RNA", at positions 1 to 507 of the family's 1533-position model. Lineage: Bacteria; Bacillati; Bacillota; Clostridia; Lachnospirales; Lachnospiraceae. The record is from RNAcentral.
ACGAGUUGUAUCCUCGGCUCAGGAGUGAACGACUGCGGCGUGCCUAACACAUAGCAAGUCGAGCGAAGACACUUAAAAUGGAUUCUUCGGGAUGAAGCUUUUAUGUGACUGAGUCGGCGGACGGGUGAGUAACGCGUGGGCAACCUGCCUUACACAGGGGGAUAACAGUUAGAAAUGACUGCUAAUACCGCAUAAGACCUACAGGGCUGCAUGGCCUGGUGGUAAAAACUCCGGUGGUGUAAGAUGGGCCCGCGUCUGAUUAGGUAGUUGGCGGGGUAACGGCCCACCCAAGCCGACGAUCAGUAGCCGACCUGAGAGGGUGACCGGCCACAUUGGGACUGAGACACGGCCCAGACUCCUACGGGAGGCAGCAGUGGGGAAUAUUGCACAAUGGGGGGAAACCCUGAUGCAGCGACGCCGCGUGAGUGAUGAAGUAUUUCGGUAUGUAAAGCUCUAUCAGCAGGGAAGAAAAUGACGGUACCUGACUAAGAAGCCCCGGCUAACUACGUG